UACAUGCAAGUCGAGGGGCAGCAUUUACUUCGGUAAAUGGCGACCGGCGCACGGGUGAGUAACGCGUAUGUAACCUACCUUUAACUGGGGCAUAGCUCGAGGAAACUCGAAUUAAUUCCCCAUAGUACAUUAUAAUAUCACAUGAUAUAAAUGUUAAAGAUUUAUCGGUUAAAGAUGGGCAUGCGUCUGAUUAGUUUGUUGGUAAGGUAACGGCUUACCAAGACUACGAUCAGUAGGGGGUCUGAGAGGAUGAUCCCCCACACUGGUACUGAGACACGGACCAGACAUCUACGGAUGGCAGCAGUAAGGAAUAUUGGGCAAUGGGCGCAAGCCUGACCCAGCCAUGCCGCGUGCAGGAUGACGACCCUAUGGGUUGUAAACUGCUUUUAUAUAGGAAGAAAAUACUCUUGUGAGAGGAUCUGACGGUACUAUAUGAAUAAGGACCGGCUAACUCCGUGCCAGCAGCCGCGGUAAUACGGAGGGUUCAAGCGUUUUCCGGAUUUAUUGGGUUUAAAGGGUGCGUAGGUGGUUUAUUAAGUCAGUGGUGAAAUCCUGCAGCUCAACUGUAGAACUGCCAUUGAUACUGGUAAACUUGAGUUUGGUUUAGGUAAGUGGAAUUUAUGAUGUAGCGGUGAAAUGCAUAGAUAUCAUAAGGAACACCAAUAGCGAAGGCAGCUUACUGGACCAUAACUGACACUGAGGCACGAAAGCGUGGGUAGCGAACAGGAUUAGAUACCCUGGUAGUCCACGCCGUAAACGAUGCUCACUCGAUGUUAGCGAUAUACUGUUAGCGUCCAAGCUAAAGCGUUAAGUGAGCCACCUGGGGAGUACGCCG
Molecule: ribosomal RNA, 835 nt
Filed under: uncultured Cytophagales bacterium
Lineage: Bacteria; Pseudomonadati; Bacteroidota; Sphingobacteriia; Sphingobacteriales
Description: bacterial SSU rRNA
Rfam family: Bacterial small subunit ribosomal RNA
Source: RNAcentral